RNAcentral lists this transfer RNA (361 nucleotides) under uncultured Microcystis sp. RNAcentral's name for it is "partial 16S-23S ribosomal RNA intergenic spacer". The stretch from base 136 to 209 matches the Rfam family "tRNA". The record is from RNAcentral. Lineage: Bacteria; Bacillati; Cyanobacteriota; Cyanophyceae; Chroococcales; Microcystaceae.
AAAGGGAGACCUAAUUCAGGUAGGAGGCGAAAAAAAAGUAGUCGCUACCAAGAAUCAAUCCCAAAAGGUCGGAGCGAGGCGAAAUUGGCUUUCAAACUAGGUUCUGGGUUCAAACAAGACCUGAAUCAGGAACAAGGGCUAUUAGCUCAGGUGGUUAGAGCGCACCCCUGAUAAGGGUGAGGUCCCUGGUUCGAGUCCAGGAUGGCCCACCUGCACAGGUGGCAAAAACAAGAGAAGCGAGGAAUCAGCACCUUAUCUUACUUAUAUAGUAAGAGAGAAUGCUGGCUCUGAGUAAAGAGUCCAGAGGAACCUUGAAAACUGCAUAGAGCUAGGUGAAAAAGCCAAAAAAGAAGACCGCAAG